UGGGGAAUUUUGGACAAUGGGCGAAAGCCUGAUCCAGCAAUGCCGCGUGUGUGAAGAAGGCCUUCGGGUUGUAAAGCACUUUUGUCCGGAAAGAAAUCCUUGGCUCUAAUACAGUCGGGGGAUGACGGUACCGGAAGAAUAAGCACCGGCUAACUACGUGCCAGCAGCCGCGGUAAUACGUAGGGUGCAAGCGUUAAUCGGGAUUACUGGGCGUAAAGCGUGCGCAGGCGGUUUGCUAAGACCGAUGUGAAAUCCCCGGGCUCAACCUGGGAACUGCAUUGGGUGACUGGCAGGCUAGAGUAUGGCAGAGGGGGGUUAGAAUUCCACGUGUAGCAGUGAAAUGCGUAGAGAUGUGGAGGAAUACCGAUGGCGAAGGCAGCCCCCUGGGCCAAUACUGACGCUCAUGCACGAAAGCGUGGGGAGCAAACAGGAUUAGAUACCCUGGUAGUCCACGCCCUAAACGAUGUCAACUAGUUGUUGGGGAUUCAUUUCCUAGUAACGUAGCUAACGCGUGAAGUUGACCGCCUGGGGAGUACGGUCG
This 541-nucleotide ribosomal RNA is filed under the name uncultured bacterium. RNAcentral describes it as "partial 16S ribosomal RNA". It matches the Rfam family "Bacterial small subunit ribosomal RNA", at positions 355 to 888 of the family's 1533-position model. The record is from RNAcentral.